CAAAAACUCCCUUAGUUGAAGAGAAAACUCAACUAGAAGUUCCUCAUACAAAUCCUUCACCCUUUUUCCCUUAAGAAGUUUCCUUUUUGUGAAAUAAGUCCAAAGUUUGAUCACAAGACCUUCUGAGUUCCUUAAGUAUUGAGUAGAUGCUUGGGGAAACGGGAUGAACCUACUAGAUAAAAUAAUAUUUUUCUACUACUAUUUCUAGUAAAUACUUGUACUGAUUCGAAUUUUGCUUAACUUUGGUUAUGUAAAUAUAUUACCGAUAUUUGUUUUCUAAUAAAAGUACUAUUCAAACA
Rosa chinensis is the source of this 299-nucleotide long non-coding RNA. RefSeq lists it as uncharacterized. NCBI's taxonomy places the organism in Eukaryota, Viridiplantae, Streptophyta, Magnoliopsida, Rosales, Rosaceae. The transcript is spliced from 2 exons. The record is from RefSeq and is a predicted model, not a curated record.